CGGCGUGCUUAACACAUGCAAGUCGAACGGUAAGGCCCUUCGGGGUACACGAGUGGCGAACGGGUGAGUAACACGUGGGUGAUCUGCCCUGCACUUCGGGAUAAGCCCGGGAAACUGGGUCUAAUACCGGAUAGGACUGCGCGGUGCAUGCCGUGUGGUGGAAAGAUUUAUCGGUGCAGGAUGGGCCCGCGGCCUAUCAGCUUGUUGGUGGGGUAAUGGCCUACCAAGGCGACGACGGGUAGCCGGCCUGAGAGGGCGACCGGCCACACUGGGACUGAGACACGGCCCAGACUCCUACGGGAGGCAGCAGUGGGGAAUAUUGCACAAUGGGCGCAAGCCUGAUGCAGCGACGCCGCGUGAGGGAUGACGGCCUUCGGGUUGUAAACCUCUUUCAGCAGGGACGAAGCGUGAGUGACGGUACCUGCAGAAGAAGCACCGGCCAACUACGUGCCAGCAGCCGCGGUAAUACGUAGGGUGCAAGCGUUGUCCGGAAUUACU
Molecule: ribosomal RNA, 498 nt
Filed under: Rhodococcoides corynebacterioides
Lineage: Bacteria; Bacillati; Actinomycetota; Actinomycetes; Mycobacteriales; Nocardiaceae
Description: bacterial SSU rRNA
Rfam family: Bacterial small subunit ribosomal RNA
Source: RNAcentral